GACGAACGCUGGCGGCGUGCUUAACACAUGCAAGUCGAACGGUGAAGCGCCUUCCUUUUUGGUGGGUGUGGAUGAGUGGCGAACGGGUGAGUAACACGUGAGUAACCUGCCCCCUUCUUCUGGAUAACCGCAUGAAAGUGUGGCUAAUACGGGAUAUUCUGGGUCUGUCGCAUGAUGGGUCUGGGAAAGAUAUUGUUUCGGUGGGGGAUGGGCUCGCGGCCUAUCAGCUUGUUGGUGGGGUGAUGGCCUACCAAGGCGGUGACGGGUAGCCGGCCUGAGAGGGGUGACGGGCACACUUGGACUGAGACACGGCCCAGACUCCUACGGGAGGCAGCAGUGGGGAAUAUUGCACAAUGGGCGCAAGCCUGAUGCAGCGACGCCGCGUGAGGGAUGGAGGCCUUCGGGUUGUGAACCUCUUUCGCCAGUGAAGCAGGCCUGCCUCGUUUGUGGGUGGGUUGACGGUAGCUGGAUAAGAAGCGCCGGCUAACUACGUG
Molecule: ribosomal RNA, 494 nt
Filed under: uncultured bacterium
Lineage: Bacteria
Description: partial 16S ribosomal RNA
Rfam family: Bacterial small subunit ribosomal RNA
Source: RNAcentral